This 263-nucleotide unclassified non-coding RNA is filed under the name plant metagenome. Its description in RNAcentral is "partial contains small subunit ribosomal RNA, internal transcribed spacer 1, and 5.8S ribosomal RNA". The record is from RNAcentral.
UUUCCGUAGGUGAACCUGCGGAAGGAUCAUUAUUGUAUAACCGAGGUACGAGGGCUGUCGCUGACCCGAAAGGUCGUCCACGCCCGAGUGCUCUCACACACAUCCAUCUCACCCCUAUGUGCACCACCGCGUGGGUCACCCUUUGGCUUGUUCGGAGGGGGGCUUACGUUUUCACACAAACUUUGUAUGCAGUGUAGAAUGUAUUUUUUGUUUUUGCGAUCACGCAAUAAAUACAACUUUCAACAACGGAUCUCUUGGCUCUC